CCUACAUCUUCCUUAAAAACAAUAUUUUUAAACAAUCAAGAACAAUAAGUGUCCAAACUUUGCUCAUUCUCAAAAUGCUAUAAUUAAAGAGUCAAUGCCUCACACUUGUCAGAGCACAAUGGAAGGCCCCCAUGGAUGCUGGUCUUCAUUUGGACACGACCGAUGUUUGACCCUCACUAUUUUAAAUGCAUGAACUGUUGGCAGAGUGCGUCAGCAAAUAUUAAUCUCUAUAAAUAUGCUUCAGAAGAGAAGCAGCCAUUGUAAUAAAUUGGUCUUUCAAAAGUAUAUCAAUAAAAUAUCAUGUCAAUGGAGAAGUCUUCUAAUACUGCAUCCUAAACCCAUCCUCCACACACUCACGCAAACCCUUUUAAGAAAAUAUGUAGAAUACCUAGAUUCAGAGAUAAUUUGAAGAUUCCCUGCAAGGUUUUGUUUAUUUGUUACAUCGAUUUUAAGAACAACUCCAUCUAAGUCGUCUUCUCAGCUGCCUUGUCUAUUC
Molecule: long non-coding RNA, 496 nt
Filed under: Bos taurus (domestic cattle)
Lineage: Eukaryota; Metazoa; Chordata; Mammalia; Artiodactyla; Bovidae
Description: long non-coding RNA NONBTAT001099
Source: RNAcentral